UACGUAGGGUGCGAGCGUUGUCCGGAAUUAUUGGGCGUAAAGAGCUCGUAGCGGUUUGUCGCGUCUGCCGUGAAAGUCCGGGGCUCAACUCCGGAUCUGCGGUGGGUACGGGCAGACUAGAGUGAUGUAGGGGAGACUGGAAUUCCUGGUGUAGCGGUGAAAUGCGUUGAGAUCGGAAGGAACGCCCGUGGCGAAAGCGAGCUCCUGGACGUUCACUGACGCUGAGACGCGAAAGCCAGGGGAGCGAACGGG
RNAcentral lists this ribosomal RNA (252 nucleotides) under uncultured bacterium. RNAcentral describes it as "partial 16S ribosomal RNA". It matches the Rfam family "Bacterial small subunit ribosomal RNA", at positions 524 to 776 of the family's 1533-position model. The record is from RNAcentral.